Ananas comosus (pineapple) is the source of this 1559-nucleotide RNA transcript. It is a transcript of the gene named succinate--CoA ligase [ADP-forming] subunit alpha, mitochondrial-like, with no coding region annotated. The transcript is spliced from 8 exons. Lineage: Eukaryota; Viridiplantae; Streptophyta; Magnoliopsida; Poales; Bromeliaceae. The record is from RefSeq and is a predicted model, not a curated record.
GAAGAGAAUAGUAAAAAGAAACAAAAGUGUCCAUUUUGGGGGAUCGGACUCUCUCUCUCUCUCUCUCUCUCUCUUCUCUUGCUUGAGGGGGGAACUUCGCCAUGUCUCGCCAAGCGUCGAAGCUGCUCGGGUCCGCCGCCUCUCGCCUCUUCUCUCUCCGCUCCCCCUCCCCCUCUUCGUCUCCCUCCUCCUCCUCCGCCGCCGCCACCCAAUUCCGGCGAUUUGCGGCAGCGCCGCCGCCGCCUCCGGCGGUGUUCGUGGACAAGAACACCCGGGUCAUCUGCCAGGGCAUCACCGGCAAGAACGGCACCUUCCACACCGAGCAGGCCAUCGAGUACGGCACCAAGAUGGUAGGUGGGGUGACGCCUAAGAAAGGUGGUACUGAACACUUGGGUCUUCCUGUGUUCAACACAGUAGCAGAGGCAAAGGCUGAGACAAAAGCUAAUGCAUCAGUUAUUUAUGUUCCACCACCAUUUGCUGCUGCUGCGAUUUUGGAGGCUAUGGAUGCAGAGUUAGAUCUUGUUGUGUGUAUUACUGAAGGAAUUCCUCAGCAUGAUAUGGUUCGAGUGAAGGCUGCUCUUAACAGGCAAUCAAAAACCCGUCUCAUUGGGCCAAACUGCCCUGGCAUCAUCAAGCCUGGAGAAUGUAAAAUUGGCAUUAUGCCUGGCUACAUUCACAAGCCAGGGCGUAUAGGGAUUGUAUCUCGAUCUGGUACCCUAACAUAUGAAGCGGUUUUUCAAACAACUGCAGUAGGCUUAGGGCAAUCAACUUGUGUAGGUAUUGGUGGGGAUCCUUUUAAUGGAACAAACUUUGUUGAUUGCAUCACCAAGUUUCUUGAUGAUCCUCAGACCGAAGGUAUUGUACUAAUUGGGGAGAUUGGAGGCACUGCCGAAGAGGAUGCAGCUGCUUUAAUAAAGGAAAGUGGAACUGAGAAGCCCGUUGUUGCAUUCAUAGCCGGACUUACUGCACCACCUGGUCGUCGUAUGGGUCAUGCUGGAGCAAUCGUGUCCGGAGGAAAGGGCACUGCCCAAGACAAAAUCAAGACGCUCAGAGAAGCAGGCGUCACUGUUGCCGAGUCCCCAGCCAAGAUUGGUGCUGCCAUGUACGACAUUUUUAAGGAGCGCGGGAUGGUAGAGUAAAAAAGCAUUCCAAGCAUUUUUACGGCAGACAUCCAAGUGAUCUUUCGAUUUAGUGCUGCUUUGAGAUGGCAGUCGCUGAAAUUUAUGAUAUAAGCAUUAGAGUCAACUUCUUGACCCUUUGGUGAGCAAACAAGGGCUUAAUGCAGGUCGAAGUCACCUGGCAGAUUCCAUGUUUUUAUUAUUAUUAUUAUUAUUAUUAUUAUUAUUAUUAUUUAAAAUCACUUUAUUUUUUAAAUAGUAAUUCUAUAAAGUAUAUGUAUAAUAAUUUAUUCGCUAAAUUGUUUUUAGAUAUUUUUAAAAAAGAUUACAAAAUUUGAAUACUUAUGUAUAUAUAAAAAGGGUAAAUGACACCUUUGGUCCUCAAACUAUGUGGCUCGACGGCUCGUGAUAUUUUUGUCAUUAAAUUUUUUUUUGUUGUAA